CGAUGCUGACUAGUUGUUCGGGAUUUACAUCCUGAGUAACGUAGCUAACGCGUGAAGUCAGCCGCCUGGGGAGUACGGUCGCAAGAUUAAAACUCAAAGGAAUUGACGGGGACCCGCACAAGCGGUGGAUGAUGUGGAUUAAUUCGAUGCAACGCGAAAAACCUUACCUACCCUUGACAUGUGACUAACGAAGUAGAGAUACAUUAGGUGCUCGUAAGAGAAAGUCAACACAGGUGCUGCAUGGCUGUCGUCAGCUCGUGUCGUGAGAUGUUGGGUUAAGUCCCGCAACGAGCGCAACCCUUGUCUUUAGUUGCUACGCAAGAGCACUCUAAAGAGACUGCCGGUGACAAACCGGAGGAAGGUGGGGAUGACGUCAAGUCCUCAUGGCCCUUAUGGGUAGGGCUUCACACGUCAUACAAUGGUGCAUACAGAGGGUUGCCAACCCGCGAGGGGGAGCUAAUCUCAGAAAAUGCAUCGUAGUCCGGAUCGUAGUCUGCAACUCGACUACGUGAAGCUGGAAUCGCUAGUAAUCGCGGAUCAGAAUGUCGCGGUGAAUACGUUCCCGGGUCUUGUACACACCGCCCGUCAUACCAUGGGAGUGGGUUUUGCCAGAAGCAGUUAGCCUAACCGCAAGGAGGGCGACUGCCACGGCAGGGUUCAUGACUGGGGUAAAGUCGUAACAAGGUA
This 687-nucleotide ribosomal RNA is filed under the name uncultured bacterium FukuS191. RNAcentral's name for it is "bacterial SSU rRNA". It matches the Rfam family "Bacterial small subunit ribosomal RNA", at positions 807 to 1498 of the family's 1533-position model. The record is from RNAcentral. Lineage: Bacteria; Pseudomonadati; Pseudomonadota; Betaproteobacteria.